GUUCGGCGAGGUUAAGGGCCUAAGGUCCGGAGCCGAAGGGAAACCGAGUGUGAAUAGCGCGACUUAAGUCGAGCGGAGUAGACCCGAAAGCGAGUGAUCUAUCCAUGGGCAGGCUGAAGCGGAUGUAACAGUCCGUGGAGGGCCGAACGGGUAUAGGUUGAAAACUGUUCCGAUGACCUGUGGAUUGGAGUGAAAGGCUAAUCAAACUCGCAGAUAGCUGGUUCUCCCCGAAAUAGCUUUCGGGCUAGCCUCUGGUGAUAGUUUACGGGGGUAGAGCUACUGAAUGGGAUAGGGGCCCUCCGGGGUACCCUACCCAAUCAAACUCCGAAUACCGUAAACCGUAUCCAGGGAGUCAGACUACGGGUGA
This 367-nucleotide ribosomal RNA is filed under the name Symbiodinium sp. clade D. Its description in RNAcentral is "partial Bacterial large subunit ribosomal RNA". It matches the Rfam family "Bacterial large subunit ribosomal RNA", at positions 635 to 998 of the family's 2925-position model. The record is from RNAcentral. Lineage: Eukaryota; Dinophyceae; Suessiales; Symbiodiniaceae.